CCCUUAGAUGUUCUGGGCCGCACGCGUGCUACACUGAGUAAUUCAAUGGGUAAGGGAACGCUAGAGCAUUACCUAAUCUUGAAAUUUGCUCGUGAUGGGGAUCGACGGUUGCAAUUUUCCGUCGUGAACGAGGAAUACCUUGUAGGCGCAUGUCAUCAUCAUGCGCCGAAUACGUCCCUGCCCUUUGUACACACCGCCCGUCGCUACUACCGAUUGAAUGGCUUAGUGAGGCCUCAGGAUCCGCGCUUAAUGUGUGGAGAAUUUGGACAAACUACGUCAUUUAGAGGAAGUAAAAGUCGUAACA
This 304-nucleotide ribosomal RNA is filed under the name uncultured eukaryote. RNAcentral describes it as "partial 18S ribosomal RNA". It matches the Rfam family "Eukaryotic small subunit ribosomal RNA", at positions 1470 to 1796 of the family's 1831-position model. The record is from RNAcentral.